RNAcentral lists this long non-coding RNA (204 nucleotides) under Pan troglodytes (chimpanzee). RNAcentral describes it as "long non-coding RNA NONPTRT003570". The record is from RNAcentral. Lineage: Eukaryota; Metazoa; Chordata; Mammalia; Primates; Hominidae.
GGAUUAUUUAACCAUUCAUAAGUAUGGCAAUGCAGCCAGAAAUGAUCUCUGGAAUACAUUAUCGGAGGCAUUAAAAAGAAAUGGGAAAUAUGUAAAUAUACAAGAAGUAAUGGAUCAGUGGACACUCCAGAUGGGUUAUCCUGUUAUCACCAUCUUGGGAAACACAACAGCAGAAAAUAGAAUAAUAAUUACCCAACAGCAUUU